UUUGUCCUGCGAGCUCCUCU
This 20-nucleotide non-coding RNA is filed under the name Arabidopsis thaliana (thale cress). The record is from RNAcentral. Lineage: Eukaryota; Viridiplantae; Streptophyta; Magnoliopsida; Brassicales; Brassicaceae.